CUGAACUUUUGUUUGAACAUUGAGGUGUUUGAAAGUAAUCUCUGUGAAGCAGCUGAUAAAGUUUAAAAUUACAUUUUUCUAACUUUUUUGAGUCUUUCAGUUUUUUGUUUUUUUUUUUUUAAGAUUUAAAAAAGAAUUACUUUGACUACAAUCCACCCCCCCCAUAUGGGGUUUGAACUCAUGACCCCAACAUCAAGAGUCACAUGCUCUACUGGCUGAGCCAGCCAGGGACCCUGAGUCUUUUAGUUUGAUGGUGGGCUUGAGGGCUUUUUUCUUCUUCAGUCAUGUAAUCUAUCAUCAACCAUACUCAGCAUCCUGUUCUAAGGCUAAAAAGAUUUUGCUUUGGGAAAUUUCUGUGUUUUUAUUCCCCUGAGCCUCCACAUCGGGGCCUCAGCUGAUAGGAUUUGGGGUGGGCACUUGACCCAAGGGCAGCCAACCUGUAGGCCACUUGGUGAAAAAUUAGCCUGGCAUUAAAAACUUUGCGUAAAUGGGAACUACAUAGACUCUCAUUGGUUUAGUUGAUUAUUGUCUUGGGACUAUGUUUUAGAAUACUCAGAAUCAGCCCUUUAGUAAUUGAAGGAGGAAUAAAAAGACACAUAGAUGCAGACAGAGAACAGCUGAGUGUCAAAUGAGGAGGAGUAGGGAACCAUGAACUUCCACUUCUUGAAAGGGGUUGAGGUCAUCAGACCCCUCAACAUGACUUGGAUCCUGAGAAGUUUUCCUGCAGAAGGCUCCGUGUGACUCACGUGCUGGACUUUUCUUGGGUUCCUACGGGAUUUGAUUCCUGAGCUAAGUUUACUAUUUCCCACAGGGAUCUUACAAUACCACCCUCCCUUCUCCUACCUUUCCCACUUAUGAGGUAACCUUAACAAAUCUCUAUUUAUUGCAACUAGAAGCCCCUAAUACUGUCAUUGUUUUUCAGGUUGUCCUAGCAUUUUGUAUUUUUCAAAGUGUUUUAAUAUGCAUUAUCUAAUUUAAUAAUAAGGAUGCUACUUAGGAGUGUAUGUAUCUCCCUGCCUACUUAUCCAGGAAUUCAAGGAAGAAGAUGACAAUGACCAGCACCCAGAUGCAGUCCUACCAUCAACCACACACCUGUUCUCAUUGUUCAUUGUUUUUUUUUUUUCUUCUCUUGUUUUGUUCAAUUUCUUAGAGUAGUGUCAUCUCUGACUGGAUUGCUGAUCCCGCUAUAUUUAGAGCUCAUUCUCAAGCCUAACAUUCCGAGCCCCAGUUCCGUGGAGCAUCUGGUACAUGCAGGUGCAUUACUACACAUGUUGUAUAACCGUGGCAGUAGACGGUGAUCACCGUAACACUGUAUUCUUAUUGUCGUGUUAUAGAUGAGGACUGGUGGUGGAGCUGGGGUUUGGUUUAGAGAAACACCCAAAGCUACCCCAUUGCUGGGGGACUUUCUUGGGCUGGAGACCCUAGAAACAGAGAUUAAAUGCUCUAACUUGAGAGUUUAACUCUUUUGAUAAAACUAUACCAGUGAUGGGGAGUUACAUGGAUGUACCACUUCAUCUGCUAAUUCCCUUAAUCGAGUCUGACAAUACGGGAAGAACAGAAGUGGAAGAGGCAUGCGUUCCUCCGUUAGGAGAGAGCCGAGUGGGAAGAAGGCACAGAAGUCUUUCAUUUUCCUGCAAGGCUGUUUUAAUUCUAGACUGACCGUGAAGCUCCACACCUCUUGGAGAGAAACAAGCAACGGAGAGACUGGAACUGGGUGGGAUGUGGCUCACAAGCCUUGCCUUGAGAUGAUGACGAGGAUGGAGUUGACAGAAGACAAGCCACACUGCUAGGAGAAAUGAACAACUCCAGUGUGGCCAGGACAUUCCCAUUAUGGCUGUUCUGAGACAUGUCACCACCGCCACCUCAAGAAAGCUUUUUUUUUUUUUUUUUUUAAAUGUUUAUUAUUUUUGAGAGAUUGUGCACGAGCUGGGGAGGGGCAGAGAGAGAGGGAGAUAGAGGAUCUGAAGCGGGCUCUGUGCUGACCACAGACAGCCCGAUGCGGGGCUCGAACUCAUGCACCGUGAUCGUGACCUGAGCUGAAGUUGGACGCUUAACUGACUGAGCCACCCAGGCGCCCCAAGAAAGCUAUCUUUGAUGUGGCCUUGCUGAGCCUGCAUUUCUAGAUCUUCAGCCUACCUCUCAGCUCCAUCUGUUCUGUACUUUAAUAGCUUUGGGGAAAGAGCACAGCUAGAGUUAGAAUCCCCGUUUUCUCACUGGGGGGGGGGCCCUAAGUACUUCAGUUUCCCUUGGGGGUAAACAUGCAGCCCGGAGGGGAGCCCUAACACUUUCCAACAUUAAUUAACAUUAUAAGACACCUUGUAUUCUGUGGCUGUCAAGUAGCAUUGACUCCUGGACUGUCGUUUUCGCUCAAUAAUGGCACCAGUGUAUUUGUUCAGUGCGGUGGCAGCAUCCAGGCAAAUGAAUUCAUCUCAGAUGAGAUGUUUCUGGCCGUUAACGACCUCACAGUGUGGGCCUCACACAAAUCCUGCGGUCCAUAAGUUUACCCUCUCAGAACAGGGUGGGGAGGGAGGCAGAGAAGAGAUUGCUUGUUUGCUUGUGACUGAGGGCGGAUACCCCUUUCCUGUCUGGAUUAUGAUGGGAUAAAAGUCUAAUGGUAAGUACAGGAGGUGAGGCAUGAUGAGUCACCUCGCCUCUCUGCAGUCCACCCUGGAGUUUUCUUACCCCACUGACUCACCUCCUCUCCCCAGAGAGCUGUCACACUCAGCAGCAGCUUGUGGCACCUUACAAGUCAGACCUGAAUUUAAGGAUGGAGACUGGCAAUUAAAUCAGACUGUGUCACAUCCACUUCAGUUGAGGGUUCCCAUCGUGGCCAUGAGAACGUGCCUCGCACACCUCUACCUACGGGGACCAUCACUGACCAAGGGCCCCCAGCUGUGGUUCUCUGAGACCCAUCUGCAUUUGCACUGAGGCGGGCUUCCCACGGGCUGCUCCUGGGAAAGACAGGACUUCUCUGACGGCAGUACAAGAAGGAAUAAAGAGGUUGACGGAAGUAGACAUGCUGGAAAGGCUGUAUCAUGUAAGGCCAAAAGAUGCACCGGAGAAUAUGUGCCAUGAGAGAGCACAGGACAUAUCACCAA
Neofelis nebulosa (Clouded leopard) is the source of this 3098-nucleotide long non-coding RNA. RefSeq lists it as uncharacterized. NCBI's taxonomy places the organism in Eukaryota, Metazoa, Chordata, Mammalia, Carnivora, Felidae. The transcript has 2 exons. The record is from RefSeq and is a predicted model, not a curated record.